This 199-nucleotide long non-coding RNA is filed under the name Coffea arabica (coffee). RNAcentral describes it as "long non-coding RNA (CARA_LNC002469)". Lineage: Eukaryota; Viridiplantae; Streptophyta; Magnoliopsida; Gentianales; Rubiaceae. The record is from RNAcentral.
UCAAAAACUCGCUUCCCAUUUUCAAAUUCCGCUUCUUGUAGGCCAGAGCGAUCAUUUAGCAGGUUCUUCAGCUUUUUAUGAAGCACCUUAAUUUGGUCCUCGGCAGGAUGCCUGAAUAUGGUGCUGUUGCCGAGCUGCUCCUUGAGGAAAAUCUGUACCUCCAGAAGCAACAUCUUUUCCUUGAUAAGCCGAAUCUUUC